CCUUGUCGAUGAGGUAUGUGAUGAUAACAAACUGGCGGCUCAAAGCAUCGCAUUUGGCUCUUAUUCACUCUCCACCAAUGUAUGGCAAAGAUGAGGGAUGCCAAUCUGACCGUGAACCUCCCGAGACUGGAGGUACACCCAAGCUUGAAGGUUCAACUGACCUGCCUUUUUCAAACAUCUUCAACGUGAAUAUGGAGAGUCUAGUUUCUCUGCUGCAGGACAGAUAACAGGUCUAAUAGUUACUCUGGGCCAUAGCGUAUUCAGGCAGUCUCUCUCUUCGAUCCGAUAGCACCACAACCAGCACCCAUUCCUUCGCCUUCCCAAUAUUGCAGACUGAAUGGAUAGCAGUCCAGUAAGAAUGGCAAAAAGCCGAUAGGAGAUUACCGGAAGCAUGGGGGUUGGCGGCAGAGCCUUCUUUGCUGUAGAUUCUGAAAAGUUCAAUUCUAUCGUAGGUUAUACAAAAUUUUAUUAUUUUCGCUUAUCAAGUUAUAUACAUCAUCUCUUUUAUCUGUUUCUAGCCGUGUAAUUGGCAGUAGGUUUUAGAGUGUCAUGCUUGGAGUUUCAAUCUCAUGCAUGCAAAUUGAGCUGUAAGCAAUACCCUAUAAUAUUCACAUAUCAUUGUAGCAUUUGUUUUUGGUUU
Long non-coding RNA from Hibiscus syriacus, 640 nucleotides. RefSeq lists it as uncharacterized. Lineage: Eukaryota; Viridiplantae; Streptophyta; Magnoliopsida; Malvales; Malvaceae. The record is from RefSeq and is a predicted model, not a curated record. The transcript has 2 exons.